UUUAGAGUUUGAAUCCUGGCUCAGGACGAACGCUGGCGGCGUGCUUAACACAUGCAAGUCGAACGGAAAGGUCUCUUCGGAGAUACUCGAGUGGCGAACGGGUGAGUAACACGUGGGUGAUCUGCCCUGCACUUCGGGAUAAGCCUGGGAAACUGGGUCUAAUACCGGAUAGGACCACGGGAUGCAUGUCUUGUGGUGGAAAGCGCUUUAGCGGUGUGGGAUGAGCCCGCGGCCUAUCAGCUUGUUGGUGGGGUGACGGCCUACCAAGGCGACGACGGGUAGCCGGCCUGAGAGGGUGUCCGGCCACACUGGGACUGAGAUACGGCCCAGACUCCUACGGGAGGCAGCAGUGGGGAAUAUUGCACAAUGGGCGCAAGCCUGAUGCAGCGACGCCGCGUGGGGGAUGACGGCCUUCGGGUUGUAAACCUCUUUCACCAUCGACGAAGGUCCGGGUUCUCUCGGAUUGACGGUAGGUGGAGAAGAAGCACCGGCCAACUACGUGCCAGCAGCCCGCGGUAAA
RNAcentral lists this ribosomal RNA (520 nucleotides) under Mycobacterium sp. Its description in RNAcentral is "bacterial SSU rRNA". It matches the Rfam family "Bacterial small subunit ribosomal RNA", at positions 1 to 524 of the family's 1533-position model. The record is from RNAcentral. Lineage: Bacteria; Bacillati; Actinomycetota; Actinomycetes; Mycobacteriales; Mycobacteriaceae.